Molecule: ribosomal RNA, 631 nt
Filed under: Trichoderma virens
Lineage: Eukaryota; Fungi; Ascomycota; Sordariomycetes; Hypocreales; Hypocreaceae
Description: eukaryotic LSU rRNA
Rfam family: 5.8S ribosomal RNA (bases 257-410)
Source: RNAcentral
UUGAAAAAAAAAGUCGUAACAAGGUCUCCGUUGGUGAACCAGCGGAGGGAUCAUUACCGAGUUUACAACUCCCAAACCCAAUGUGAACGUUACCAAACUGUUGCCUCGGCGGGAUCUCUGCCCCGGGUGCGUCGCAGCCCCGGACCAAGGCGCCCGCCGGAGGACCAACCAAAACUCUUAUUGUAUACCCCCUCGCGGGUUUUUUACUAUCUGAGCCAUCUCGGCGCCCCUCGUGGGCGUUUCGAAAAUGAAUCAAAACUUUCAACAACGGAUCUCUUGGUUCUGGCAUCGAUGAAGAACGCAGCGAAAUGCGAUAAGUAAUGUGAAUUGCAGAAUUCAGUGAAUCAUCGAAUCUUUGAACGCACAUUGCGCCCGCCAGUAUUCUGGCGGGCAUGCCUGUCCGAGCGUCAUUUCAACCCUCGAACCCCUCCGGGGGGUCGGCGUUGGGGAUCGGCCCUUUACGGGGCCGGCCCCGAAAUACAGUGGCGGUCUCGCCGCAGCCUCUCCUGCGCAGUAGUUUGCACACUCGCAUCGGGAGCGCGGCGCGUCCACAGCCGUUAAACACCCCAAACUUCUGAAAUGUUGACCUCGGAUCAGGUAGGAAUACCCGCUGAACUUAAGCAUAUCAAAA